AGCUGCAGAAGGCAUCUGAGAAGAGCUUCACAACUGCUUAGUGUCUCUUCGCCAUUUGUUCCUUGUCAUCAUUCUUGUUUCCAUAACAGACUUUCGUGAGGCAAAUUACUGUAGGAUGGUAAUGUUCCAAUAACUCUGUGACAUAAAAUCUGAGAAGCACAAAGCAGCCACCAUCAGGCAUUGGAGAGAAGUCUUGUAGAUGUGAGAUCUGCAUAGCGGAUGGCUCCACAGUUAUAAAGCACAGGGAAGAAAGGGACCUAGGACCGCCUCGGGCAUUUUUGUUAAUGACAGAGAUGAAAUCUGCUCUUCAAAAACAUUGACUUGAGCUGCUUAUAGUGCUGCAAAAACAAACCUGUGAUGGACUCAGCAACAAGCUCUUCUGUUCAUUGGUGUAGGAAGCGCACGUA
Molecule: long non-coding RNA, 407 nt
Filed under: Dromaius novaehollandiae (emu)
Lineage: Eukaryota; Metazoa; Chordata; Aves; Casuariiformes; Dromaiidae
Description: lncRNA (ENSDNVG00000010484.1)
Source: RNAcentral